Molecule: long non-coding RNA, 512 nt
Filed under: Phoenix dactylifera (date palm)
Lineage: Eukaryota; Viridiplantae; Streptophyta; Magnoliopsida; Arecales; Arecaceae
Description: long non-coding RNA (PDAC_LNC022844)
Source: RNAcentral
UAAACCUCUCCACAGCCUUCCAUGGGCUAUCUUCUAGGAAAUGACCAAAGCCUCCCUAAUCAUUUAUCUACUCUCCAGCAUCUUUUGUCUGCGGUUGAGUAGAGAUAUGGGCAACGGUUAUAUUUCUUUUUAAGUUUUUUAUGAUCCAAUAUAAUUUCUGCUACAUCUUAGAACCAACCAUAGCUCACAUAGUAAGCCAAUAAAAGCUCGCCACAUAGCUGCAGGCUGACCAUUGAGAGCUCGUGGCAUAACUGACCUAAAAGGUGCACAGAGAGUCCUGCACCUCCACCGACUGGUGACAAUUUGGUCCAAGAUUAUGAACGGUUUUCUUACCGCGCAAUAUAUGAAGUAUCCACGCAUGUGGAACAUGUGGGUGUGAUCUUCGGGCAUGAUGUGUGAGCUGUUACUAUAACGACCAAAACACAUGCUCGAUUUACUCGAAGACGGCUGCCAGCCCUCAUCUAUAUAAAACACAUCCGAGGGCCUUCUAGGUAAGUUCUUUUUGAUCCUAC